This is a long non-coding RNA of Cyprinus carpio (common carp), 1041 nucleotides long. RefSeq lists it as uncharacterized. The transcript has 3 exons. The record is from RefSeq and is a predicted model, not a curated record. NCBI's taxonomy places the organism in Eukaryota, Metazoa, Chordata, Actinopteri, Cypriniformes, Cyprinidae.
AAAGCUGAUAAAGUGCAGCAUCAGAGCAGCGGAAGCAAAAAGUGGAAGGAGGUUUGGAAGAGAGGCCAUGGUGUUCAAAAUGAUCAGCUGAAUGAUAGAGAUGGAAACUUAAUCAUCAAUAACUUUACAGCCAGUAAUUCAGGAACAUACAAAGUUUUGGGCUCUGAAGGAGAAACCUUGAUCACAGUGACUGUUGAAGGAUCUCGUUCAGGUGGUAAACUCAAGAGUGAUGCUGAACAACACAAGCACUGGAUUGGACCGGCUGGGCUGCCUGGGUUCGUUUGGGUGGUUCUUUGCCUUUUUUAAAAGAAGAAAGAUACACCGAUGUCUGGAUGGAGGUCUGAGAAGGUUCUACAUUUGAUGAAGAACCAUCUUCAUGAAUAUUAAAAAUUAUGUUCUAGAAUAUUAAUGCAAUCCAGAUGUGCUACAUCUGCCAUAUUGUCAUGUGACUUAUUUCCGAAAGUAGUAGGACAUCCAGGUACUUUCUGACAGCUGUUUUAUAAGUAUUACAAGGUUUUAUUGCCAUCUGAAUCCAUAAUGUCAGUGUGUUUCUCCCACCGCCCGCAUAUUUCCCUGACUGAAUUACCUACUGUUUUUUUUUUAACAAACAAAAAGGUGAUGUGGUAAUUUCACUGCUGCCAAAUCCACAUCCGAGUUUACAAGAUGGGAUCAAUUUUAAAUUCACUUUGGCAGCACCAUAUGAUAACUGUUGUGCUUCACUGUAAUUUGCAUUAAAGAUAUACACUUUUAUUACUGAAAGAUAUAUAACAUAUUAUUGCACCAAAGGACAUGUAAUGCAAUUUUUAAUGUUUGUAUGUAUGUAUGUAUGUAUGUAUGUAUGUAUGUAUUUAUUUAUUUAUUUAUUUAUUUAUUUAUGUAUGUCUUUUAAUGUUAGUUUAAGUCCCUCAGUUGUCCACCAGAGGUCUCACUCCACAGAGUAUUGACUAUUGGACUAUAGUUCCCAGGAAGCCUCAUACCUGGACUAAUUUCCGCUCACCUGAUCCUUGCACUCAGAUUAUUUAAAAACUGUGUUUUGCUCUC